GCAGUCGGACGAGAGUUUUUAACUCUAGUGGCGGACGGGUGAGUAACACGUGAGAAUUUACCCUUUAGGAGGGGGAUAACAAUUGGAAACGAAUGCUNAUACCCCAUAUGCUUUCGAGUGAAAUGGAUUUAUAUUUAUUCGCCUAAAGAGAAGCUCGCGGCUGAUUAGCUUGUUGGUAAGGUAAGAGCUCACCAAGGCGACGAUCAGUAUCUGGUUUGAGAGGACGAUCAGACACACUGGAACUGAGACACGGUCCAGACUCCUACGGGAGGCAGCAGUGGGGAAUUUUCCGCAAUGGGCGAAAGCCUGACGGAGCAAUACCGCGUGAGGGAAGACUGCCUAUGGGUUGUAAACCUCUUUUUUCAGGGAGGAAUAAAUGACGUGUACCUGAAGAGUAAGCAUCGGCUAACUCCGUGCCAGCAGCCGCGGUAAGACGGAGGAUGCAAGUGUUAUCCGGAAUCACUGGGCGUAAAGCGUCUGUAGGUGGUUUAAUAAGUCAACUGUUAAAUCUUGAGGCUCAACUUCAAAAUCGCAGUCGAAACUAUUAGUCUAGAGUAUAGUAGAGGUAAAGGGAAUUUCCAGUGGAGCGGUGAAAUGCGUAGAUAUUGGAAAGAACACCGAUGGCGAAAGCACUUUACUGGGCUAUUACUAACACUCAGAGACGAAAGCUAGGGUAGCAAAUGGGAUUAGAUACCCCAGUAGUUCCUA
Molecule: ribosomal RNA, 708 nt
Filed under: uncultured cyanobacterium
Lineage: Bacteria; Bacillati; Cyanobacteriota
Description: bacterial SSU rRNA
Rfam family: Bacterial small subunit ribosomal RNA
Source: RNAcentral